This 2789-nucleotide long non-coding RNA is filed under the name Gallus gallus (chicken). RNAcentral describes it as "lncRNA (ENSGALG00010000410.1)". Lineage: Eukaryota; Metazoa; Chordata; Aves; Galliformes; Phasianidae. The record is from RNAcentral.
GGGUCAAUUUGGGGCAAUUUGGUGUUUCUAGGGCUGAUUUUGGGGUCAUUUGGGGGCAAUUUGGGGUUUUUAGGGCCGAUUUUGAGGCAAUUUGGGUCAGUUUGGGUCAAUUUGGGGUCAAUUUAGGGCAAUUUGGGGUUUUUAGGGCUGAUUUUGGGGCAUUUUGGGUCAAUUUUGGGUUUUUAGGGCUGAUUUUGGGGCAUUUGAGGGCAAUUUGGGGUUUUUAGGGCUGAUUUUGGGGCAUUUUGGGUCAAUUUUGGGUUUUUAGGGCUGAUUUUGGGGCAUUUGAGGGCAAUUUGGGGUUUUUAGGGCUGUUUUGGGGUCAUUUUGGGUCAAUUUGGUGUUUUUAGGGCUGAUUUUGGGGCAUUUGGGGGCAAUUUGGGGUUUUUAGGGCCGAUUUUGGGGCAUUUGGGGGCAAUUUGGGGAUUUUAGGGCCGAUUUUGGGGCAUUUGGGGGCAAUUUGGGGUUUUUAGGGCCGAUUUUGGGGCAUUUGAGGGCAAUUUGGGGGUUUUUAGGACUGAUUUUGGGGUCAAUUUGGGUCAAUUUGGGUUUUUUAGGGUCGAUUUUGGGGCAUUUGGGGGCAAUUUGGGGUUUUUAGGGCCGAUUUUGGGGCAUUUGGGGGCAAUGUGGGGUUUUUAGGGCCAAUUUUGGGGCCAUUUGGGGGCAAUUUGGGGUUUUUAGGGCCGAUUUUGGGGCAUUUGGGGGCAAUUUGGGGUUUUUAGGGCCGAUUUUGGGGCAUUUGAGGGCAAUUUGGGGGUUUUUAGGACUGAUUUUGGGGUCAAUUUGGGUCAAUUUGGGUUUUUUAGGGUCGAUUUUGGGGCAUUUGGGGGCAAUUUGGGGUUUUUAGGGCCGAUUUUGGGGCAUUUGGGGGCAAUUUGGGGUUUUUAGGGCCGAUUUUGGGGCCAUUUGGGGGCAAUUUGGGGUUUUUAGGGCCGAUUUUGGGGCAUUUGGGGGCAAUUUGGGGUUUUUAGGGCCGAUUUUGGGGCAUUUGAGGGCAAUUUGGGGGUUUUUAGGACUGAUUUUGGGGUCAAUUUGGGUCAAUUCGGGUUUUUUAGGGUCGAUUUUGGGGCAUUUGGGGGCAAUUUGGGGUUUUUAGGGCCGAUUUUGGGGCAUUUGGGGGCAAUGUGGGGUUUUUAGGGCCAAUUUUGGGGCCAUUUGGGGGCAAUUUGGGGUUUUUAGGGUCGAUUUUGGGGCAUUUGGGGGCAAUUUGGGGUUUUAGGGCUGAUUUUGGGGCAUUUGGGGUUUUCUGGGGGUGGAUUUGGGGCCAAUUCUGGGUCAAUUUGGGGCGGUUUUGGUGCAUUUUGGGGUCAUUUCCCAAUUUGGGGCCAUUUUGGGUCCAUUUCCCCCCAUUUAGGGCCAUUUUGGGGUCAAUUCACCCCAUAUCCCCCAAUUUAGGGCCAUUUGGGUCCCAUUUCCCCCAAUUUUGGGGGCCAUUUCCCCCCAUUUAGGGCCAUUUUGGGGUCAAUUCCCCCCAAUUUGGGUUCAUUUCCCCCGAUUUAGGGCCAUUUUGGGCCCAUUUCCCCCCAUUUAGGGCAAUUUUGGGGUCAAUUCACCCCAUAUCCCCCCAUUUAGGGCCAUUUGGGUCCCAUUUCCCCCAAUUUUGGGGUCCAUUUCCCCCCAUUUAGGCCAUUUUGGGGUCAAUUCACCCCCAUUUCCCCCUUUUGGGUCCAUUUCCCCCCAUUUAGGGCCAUUUUGGGGUCCAUUCACCCCAAUUUCCCCCUUUUGGGUCCAUUUCCCCCAAUUUGGGGCCAUUUUGGGGUCACUUUCCCCAUUUGGGGCCAUUUUGGGUCUAUUUCCCCCCAUUUAGGGCCAUUUUGGGGUCAAUUCCCCCCAAUUUGGGUCCAUUUCCCCCCAUUUAGGGCCAUUUUGGGGCCAUUUUCCCCCAUUUAGGGCCAUUUUGGGCCCAUUUCUCCCCAUUUUGGGGUCAAUUCCUCCCAUUUGGGGUCCAUUUCCCCCCAUUUAGGGCCAUUUUGGGGUCCAUUUCCCCCCAUUUAGGGCCAUUUUGGGGUCAAUUCACCCCGAUUUGGGUUCAUUUCCCCCCAUUUAGGGCCAUUUGGGGUCCAUUUCCCCCUAUUUUGGGUACAUUUCCCCCCAUUUAGGGCCAUUUUUGGGCCCAUUUCCCCCCAUUUGGGACCAUUUUGGGUCCAUUCACCCCAAUUUGGGGCCAUUUUGGGUCCAUUUCCCCCAUUUAGGGCCAUUUUGGGCCCAUUUCCCCCAUUUAGGGCCAUUUUGGGUCCAUUCACCCCCAUUUCCCCCAUUUUGGGUACAUUUCCCCCAUUUAGGGCCAUUUUGGGCCCAUUUCCCCCCAUUUAGGGCCAUUUUGGGCUCCAUUCACCUCAAUUUGGGGCCAUUUGGGGUCCUUUUCCCCCCAUUUAGGACCAUUUUGGGGUCAAUUCCUCCCAUUUGGGGUCCAUUCACCCCAUUUAGGACCAUUUUGGUCCCAUUUCCCCCCAUUUAGGGCCAUUUGGGGCCCAUUUCCCCACAAUUUAGGUCCAUUUUCCCCCAUUUAGGGCCAUUUGGGGCCCAUUUCCCCCCAUUUAGGGCCAUUUUGGGGUCAAUUCACCCCCAUUUCCCCCAUUUUGGGUCCAUUUCCCCCCAUUUAGGGCCAUUUGGGUCCAUUUCCCCCCAUUUAGGGCCAUUUUGGGGCCGUUUUGGGGCCGUUCGGACCCUUUUAUCCCCCCCGCCCCCCCCCCCAACGUCUCCCCACGGGGGGGGGCAGCAGCUGUGGGGCUGAGGCUCCGCCCCCCCCCCCACCUGUCCCCCCCCCCCCUAUGGGGGCUCUAUUUUGG